AGAGUUUGAUCCUGGCUCAGGAUGAACGCUGGCGGCAUGCCUAAGACAUGCAAGUCGAACGAGGUGGCCCAAAGAAGAUUGAGUGCUUGCACAAGAUUGGACUUGGAUUACCACCUAGUGGCGGACGGGUGAGUAACACGUAGGUGACCUACCUUUGAGUUUGGGAUAACUAUUAGAAAUGAUAGCUAAUACCGAAUUAAAUGCAGAUUCGUUUCUGCAUUAAAAGGAGCCUUUAAAGCUUCGCUUAAAGAUGGGCCUGCGGCGUAUUAGCUAGUUGGUGAGGUAAUGGCUUACCAAGGCGACGAUGCGUAGCCGAACUGAGAGGUUGAUCGGCCACAUUGGGACUGAGACACGGCCCAAACUCCUACGGGAGACAGCAGUUAGGAAUAUUCGUCAAUGGGGGAAACCCUGAACGAGCAAUGCCGCGUGAACGAUGAAGGCCCUAUGGGUUGUAAAGUUCUGUUGCAUGGGACGAACGAUUAGGAUAGGAAAUGAUCUUAAUGUGACGGUACCAUGCCAGAAAGCUCCGGCUAACUACGUGCCAGCAGCCGCGGUAAUACGUAGGGAGCAAGCGUUAUCCGGAUUUAUUGGGCGUAAAGGGUGCGUAGGCGGUUUGUUAAGUAUGAGAUUAAAGCCCGAGGCUUAACCUCGGUUCGUUUCAUAAACUGGCAGGCUUGAGUGUGGCAGAGGUAAACGGAAUUUCUAGUGUAGCGGUUAAAUGCGUAGAUAUUAGAAGGAACACCAGUGGCGAAGGCGGUUUACUGGGCCAUAACUGACGCUGAGGCACGAAAGCGUGGGGAGCAAAUAGGAUUAGAUACCCUAGUAGUCCACGCCGUAAACGAUGAGUACUAAGUGUUGGGGCAACCCAGUGCUGAAGUUAACACAUUAAGUACUCCGCCUGAGUAGUACGGUCGCAAGGCUGAAACUCAAAGG
Molecule: ribosomal RNA, 933 nt
Filed under: uncultured bacterium
Lineage: Bacteria
Description: bacterial SSU rRNA
Rfam family: Bacterial small subunit ribosomal RNA
Source: RNAcentral